UGGGGAAUAUUGGACAAUGGGCGCAAGCCUGAUCCAGCCAUGCCGCGUGAGUGAUGAAGGCCCUAGGGUUGUAAAGCUCUUUCACCGGUGAAGAUAAUGACGGUAACCGGAGAAGAAGCCCCGGCUAACUUCGUGCCAGCAGCCGCGGAAAUACGAAGGGGGCUAGCGUUGUUCGGAUUUACUGGGCGUAAAGCGCACGUAGGCGGACUAUUAAGUCAGGGGUGAAAUCCCGGGGCUCAACCCCGGAACUGCCUUUGAUACUGGUAGUCUUGAGUUCGAGAGAGGUGAGUGGAAUUCCGAGUGUAGAGGUGAAAUUCGUAGAUAUUCGGAGGAACACCAGUGGCGAAGGCGGCUCACUGGCUCGAUACUGACGCUGAGGUGCGAAAGCGUGGGGAGCAAACAGG
RNAcentral lists this ribosomal RNA (404 nucleotides) under Verrucomicrobiota bacterium. Its description in RNAcentral is "Verrucomicrobia bacterium partial 16S ribosomal RNA". It matches the Rfam family "Bacterial small subunit ribosomal RNA", at positions 355 to 776 of the family's 1533-position model. Lineage: Bacteria; Pseudomonadati; Verrucomicrobiota. The record is from RNAcentral.